CCGGUACUUGAUGAAUAAGCCCCGGCUAAUUAUGUGCCAGCAGCCGCGGUAAGACAUAAGGGGCAAGUGUUAUCCGGAAUUAUUGGGCGUAAAGGGUGCGUAGGCGGUCUAGUAAGUCAGUGGUGUAAUGGCAACGCUUAACGUUGUCCGGCUAUUGAAACUGCUAAACUUGAGUUAGAUAGAGGCGAGUGGAAUUCCAUGUGUAGCGGUAAAAUGCGUAAAUAUAUGGAGGAACACCAGAGGCGUAGGCGGCUCGCUGGGUCUUAACUGACGCUGAGGCACGAAAGCGUGGGGAGCAAACAGGAUUAGAUACCCUGGUAGUCCACGCCGUAAACGAUGAGUACUAAGUGUCGGGUUAAACCGGUACUGAAGUUAACACAUUAAGUACUCCGCCUGAGUAGUACGUACGCAAGUAUUAAACCGGUACUGAAGUUAACACAUUAAGUACUCCGCCUGAGUAGUACGUACGCAAGUAUGAAACUUAAAGGAAUUGACGGGACUCCGCACAAGCGGUGGAUCAUGUUGUUUAAUUCGAAGAUACCCGAAAAACCUUACCAGGUCUUGACAUGUUUUUGCAAAAUGAUAGUAAUAUCGUGGAGGUUACCAGAAACACAGGUGGUGCAUGGUUGUCGUCAGCUCGUGUCGUGAGAUGUUAGGUUAAGUCCUAAAACGAGCGAAACCCUUAUCGUUAGUUGCCAGCACGUUAUGGUGGGGACUUUAACGAGACUGCCAAUGAUAAAUUGGAGGAAGGUGAGGAUCACGUCAAAUCAGCAUGCCCCUUAUGACCUGGGCUACAAACGUGAUACAAUGGCUGUUACAAAGGGUAGCUGAAACGCAAGUUCUUGGCCAAUCCCCAAAAACAGUCCCAGUCCGGAUUGAAGUCUGCAACUCGACUUCAUGAAGUUGGAAUCGCUAGUAAUCGCGAAUCAGCAUGUCGCGGUGAAUACGUUCUCGG
Molecule: ribosomal RNA, 955 nt
Filed under: Red tassel witches'-broom phytoplasma
Lineage: Bacteria; Bacillati; Mycoplasmatota; Mollicutes; Acholeplasmatales; Acholeplasmataceae
Description: bacterial SSU rRNA
Rfam family: Bacterial small subunit ribosomal RNA
Source: RNAcentral